UUGCUUCAGCAGCACAUAUAUUAAAAUUAGAACAAUACAGAGAAGAGGCAUGGGCCUUAUACAAGGAUGAUGCAUAUUCAUGAAAUGUGUUUAUACAAUUUUUUU
Molecule: small nuclear RNA, 105 nt
Organism: Manis javanica (Malayan pangolin)
Lineage: Eukaryota; Metazoa; Chordata; Mammalia; Pholidota; Manidae
Source: RefSeq, a predicted model, not a curated record